UGGGGAAUUUUGUACAAUGGGGGAAACCCUGAUGCAGCGACGCCGCGUGAUUUAGAAGGCCUUCGGGUUGUAAAAAUCUUUUCUAUGGGAAGAAAAUGACAGUACCAUAGGAAUAAGGACCGGCUAAUUACGUGCCAGCAGCCGCGGUAAUACGUAAGGUCCGAGCGUUGUCCGGAAUCAUUGGGCGUAAAGGGUACGUAGGCGGGUAAGCAAGUUAGAAGUGAAAUCCUAUAGCACAACUAUAGUAAGCUUUUAAAACUGCUCAUCUUGAGGUAUGGAAGGGAAAGUGGAAUUCCUAGUGUAGCGGUGAAAUGCGCAGAUAUUAGGAGGAAUACCGGUGGCGAAGGCGACUUUCUGGCCAUAACCUGACGCUGAGGUACGAAAGCGUGGGUAGCAAACAGG
Molecule: ribosomal RNA, 402 nt
Filed under: bacterium
Lineage: Bacteria
Description: partial 16S ribosomal RNA
Rfam family: Bacterial small subunit ribosomal RNA
Source: RNAcentral